Long non-coding RNA from Juglans regia (Persian walnut), 448 nucleotides. RefSeq lists it as uncharacterized. Lineage: Eukaryota; Viridiplantae; Streptophyta; Magnoliopsida; Fagales; Juglandaceae. The transcript is spliced from 2 exons. The record is from RefSeq and is a predicted model, not a curated record.
CUUCGAAGGCGCGUCAAGAUGUCUGGGCUUGUAAUUGGUUGAAAAAGGCAGCUUGACUAAGGUCUAUAAAAAUAAACACAGACUUCCUUCAUCGAACUCACCAAAGCCCCGAUGAGCAAACCUCUUUAUUCCCUUUCCCCUUCUUCCUUCGAUCCCUUGGGUCUUACAAUUCCCAGGGUUUAUCCCAACUCUCCCACCAUUUAAUUUGAAUCCCUAAUAUUCCCUCUCAAUACUUCUCUCUUAAACCCUUUAUCACUGUUCUAAACCCUAGCUAAUUUGGGUCCCUGCAAAUCUUUCUUCUUCUUUUUGUUUUUAUGGGUCUGAAUUUUGGUCGAUUGAAGCAGCGUUUCAUUUCCAAUUCUCGAAAUUACUGGGAUGGAUUCUAUUCUUCUGGGAUUGCAAACUCCGUUUUCUUUUUCCAUGCAAUUAAUUGGAACUCUACAGACUA